GAUGAACGCUGGCGGCGUGCCUAAUACAUGCAAGUCGAGCGAACGGACGAGAAGCUUGCUUCUCUGAUGUUAGCGGCGGACGGGUGAGUAACACGUGGAUAACCUACCUAUAAGACUGGGAUAACUUCGGGAAACCGGAGCUAAUACCGGAUGAUAUUUUGAACCGCAUGGUUCAAAAGUGAAAGACGGUCUUGCUGUCACUUAUAGAUGGAUCCGCGCUGCAUUAGCUAGUUGGUAAGGUAACGGCUUACCAAGGCAACGAUGCAUAGCCGACCUGAGAGGGUGAUCGGCCACACUGGACCUGAGACACGGUCCAGACUCCUACGGGAGGCAGCAGUAGGGAAUCUUCCGCAAGGGGCGAAAGCCUGACGGAGCAACGCGGCGUGAGUGAUGAGGUCUUCGGAUCGUAAAACUCUGUUAUUAGGGAAGAACAUAUGUGUAAGUAACUGUGCACAUCUUGACGGUACCUAAUCAGAAAGCCACGGCUAACUACGUG
Molecule: ribosomal RNA, 496 nt
Filed under: uncultured bacterium
Lineage: Bacteria
Description: partial 16S ribosomal RNA
Rfam family: Bacterial small subunit ribosomal RNA
Source: RNAcentral